This 458-nucleotide ribosomal RNA is filed under the name uncultured bacterium. RNAcentral describes it as "bacterial SSU rRNA". It matches the Rfam family "Bacterial small subunit ribosomal RNA", at positions 340 to 786 of the family's 1533-position model. The record is from RNAcentral.
UACGGAAGGCAGCAGUGGGGAAUAUUGCACAAUGGGCGAAAGCCUGAUGCAGCUAUGCCGCGUGUAUGAAGAAGGCCUUAGGGUUGUAAAGUACUUUCAUCGGGGAGGAAAAAAACAAAACUAAUAAUUUUAUUUCUUGACGUUACCCGAAAAAGAAGCACCGGCUAACUCCGUGCCAGCAGCCGCGGUAAUACGGAGGGUGCUAGCGUUAAUCAGAAUUACUGGGCGUAAAGAGCACGUAGGUGGUUUUUUUAAGUCAGAUGUGAAAUCCCUGGGCUUAACCUAGGAACUGCAUUUUGAAACUGAAAUACUAGAGUAUCGUAGGGGGAGGUAGAAUUCUAGGUGUAGCGGUGAAAUGCGUAGAUAUCUGGAGGAAUACCUGUGGCGAAAGCGGCCUCCUAAACGAAUACUGACACUGAGGGUGCGAAAGCGUGGGGAGCAAACAGGGAUUAGAUACC